AUAAAUACAAGGCUAGAACAAUGUAAUUGAUUCAUUCUGUCUGUAAUACAAUCUACUUCCUUUCUCAUUGCUUCUUCUCUCUCUCAUUCGAUACAUUCAUCUUUUACAUUUCUGCAUUUCUUGCAAACCUUCAUUUUCUCUAGUUUCUUGGUUCUGUUAAUGUGGUAUCAUUGCCGAGGAACGACUGGGUGAAUCUUCCGCUGUACUAUUCUGCAAGUGAUGGGUUUUCUAUGGUGAUUUCUGAGUUGCUAUCGUAGACGAAUAUCAGGUUCUCUGUGUUCAUAUAUGUUCUUGUUUUCGUAUAUAAGGUGUUUAUGAUAUUGUCUGAGUGAAGUUUGAUAUGAUUUUCAUGAGUAAUUGAUUGAAGGCCGAUGCCAUUUCUUGUCAUGAUAUGAUAUGUUCGAUGAAUGUGAUGAAGAAUGUUUGAUAAGGCUGAUGUCAAUUGUUUAAUUUCAGUGAAAUUAAUUGAAAAAUAUGAGUUUCUUGCUAGUAAAGAAUUGUUGAAAAAUAGUUGAUUGAAAGAUUGAGUGUUUUGUUAUCAAAGGCUGAAGUUAAUAGUCAAGAAAGUGUGGUGUAUAUCAAUACCUAAUUGGUUGGGGGAUAGCUUUCAGAAUUUGGUUAUCUUAAUGCUUUCCUCUAACCACUUCAAUGGAAGCUUGCCCCCGCAACUAUGCCAUCUAGUAUACAUUCAAAUUUUGGAUGUGUCUGUGACCAUCUCUGGAGGUAUACCGAAUUGCCUAAAAGUUUACUACUCUGGCUUAGAAAGGAAAUUCAAGUCUUACCGUCGAACAUUCUUAUAUGAGAAAUACUGAUGGACAUUCGUCCAUGGGGACUAGUUAUGAGGAUGACGCAACUUUCAUAUGGAAAGGGAGCAUGCGGGUGUACAAAAACACUUGGGGGCUUGUGAGAAGAAUUGAUUUCUCAAGCAAUAAGUUAAAUGGGGAGAUUCCAACUGAAAUCAGCUACCUAGUUGGCUUGGUUUCUUUAAACCUAUCGAGAAACCAAUUAACGGGUCAAAUUACUCCAAACAUUGGAAAAUUGGAGUCGUUGGAUUCACUUGAUUUGUCAAGAAAUCAGAUAGAUGGAAGAAUUCCAGCAAGCCUUGCUCGGAUAGAUCGUCUUGGUUUCUUGGACUUGUCAUACAACAACUUGACUGGAAAGAUUCCAACUGGCACCCAGCUCCAAAGUUUUGAUCCCACUGUUUAUGCUGGAAAUCCACAGCUCUGUGGACCUCCACUUCAAAAUCCGUGUGAAAAGCAAAGAGUCCAGAUCAAGUUAGUAAUGAAGAUGAUAAGGAUGAUCAGCUUAAAAGCUACGGAUUUUACAUCAGCAUGGGGCUCGGGUUUGUUAUUGGGUUUUGGGGAGUUUGUGGAAGUCUGAUAUUCAUCAGGGAAUGGAGGUACACAUACUUCAAGUUCUUGAAUUUGCUGAAUGAUUGGUUUUAUGUGAGGGUAGUGUUGAUCAAGCGGAAAUUAACGGAUGCUUAACAGAUAAGCUCUAGUGUGUGCUUCACGCUUCUUCUUCACUCCACUUCGAUUGUGUGGUUGCCAUGACCAAAUUAUCUGCAGAAGCUUUCAAGUAUUGGAUUCUGCUUAAUACCGAAAUAACGAGAUCGCAGAAAUGUACUAGGGAUAUGUUUUCCUUGGUAAAUGAUUUGAUACCGUGCCCUGAACUUAAUUCAUAGGGACUUCUCCAAGCAACUGUUUUUUAUGAAUAUUGUUCUAGUUUAAUUGUUUUACAUUAAGAGAUUUCUGUAGUAAAUCGUUUUAGAUGAAUUUGUUUUUUUACUUUAUGUUUUCUCUCUAGUAAGUGGGGUUGAUGUUGGGUUCCCCUGCCGUAUCACUUGCUCUGUUGUUUUCUUGGCAAGCUUUGGUUUUAUUUUCCCCUCAUUUGUAUUUCUCUCUUUACUUUAAUAAGCUUGAGGGGAUGAAAGGUGAGUGCUAUUGCCUCAUCCUUUUAAAA
Molecule: non-coding RNA, 1962 nt
Organism: Malus domestica (apple)
Lineage: Eukaryota; Viridiplantae; Streptophyta; Magnoliopsida; Rosales; Rosaceae
Source: RefSeq, a predicted model, not a curated record